CACGGAGCUUGCUCUGUGGGAUCAGUGGCGAACGGGUGAGUAACACGUGAGCAACCUGCCCCUGACUCUGGGAUAAGCGCUGGAAACGGCGUCUAAUACUGGAUAUGUGACGUGACCGCAUGGUCUGCGUCUGGAAAGAUUUUUCGGUUGGGGAUGGGCUCGCGGCCUAUCAGCUUGUUGGUGAGGUAAUGGCUCACCAAGGCGUCGACGGGUAGCCGGCCUGAGAGGGUGACCGGCCACACUGGGACUGAGACACGGCCCAGACUCCUACGGGAGGCAGCAGUGGGGAAUAUUGCACAAUGGGCGCAAGCCUGAUGCAGCAACGCCGCGUGAGGGAUGACGGCCUUCGGGUUGUAAACCUCUUUUAGCAGGGAAGAAGCGAAAGUGACGGUACCUGCAGAAAAAGCGCCGGCUAACUACGUGCCAGCAGCCGCGGUAAUACGUAGGGCGCAAGCGUUAUCCGGAAUUAUUGGGCGUAAAGAGCUCGUAGGCGGUUUGUCGCGUCUGCUGUGAAAUCCGGAGGCUCAACCUCCGGCCUGCAGUGGGUACGGGCAGACUAGAGUGCGGUAGGGGAGAUUGGAAUUCCUGGUGUAGCGGUGGAAUGCGCAGAUAUCAGGAGGAACACCGAUGGCGAAGGCAGAUCUCUGGGCCGUAACUGACGCUGAGGAGCGAAAGGGUGGGGAGCAAACAGGCUUAGAUACCCUGGUAGUCCACCCCGUAAACGUUGGGAACUAGUUGUGGGGUCCAUUCCACGGAUUCCGUGACGCAGCUAACGCAUUAAGUUCCCCGCCUGGGGAGUAC
RNAcentral lists this ribosomal RNA (801 nucleotides) under Microbacterium maritypicum. RNAcentral describes it as "bacterial SSU rRNA". It matches the Rfam family "Bacterial small subunit ribosomal RNA", at positions 72 to 883 of the family's 1533-position model. Lineage: Bacteria; Bacillati; Actinomycetota; Actinomycetes; Micrococcales; Microbacteriaceae. The record is from RNAcentral.